Long non-coding RNA from Homo sapiens (human), 5151 nucleotides. RefSeq annotates it as long independently transcribed non-coding RNA 2457. The transcript has 3 exons. NCBI's taxonomy places the organism in Eukaryota, Metazoa, Chordata, Mammalia, Primates, Hominidae. The record is from RefSeq and is a predicted model, not a curated record.
UGUGAGGAUACAACUGGGAACUAAAGCUGGAAGAUGCCAGACAUUCAGCAGGGAGUUCCCUCAUCAGCAGCUGGCUAACUGGGGAACUGAAAGUCACAAGGCGCUCGUUUCUGAUAACUCCAUGAAAAUUCACUCUGGGUCAGAAAUCAAUCUUUGGAGUUCUGAACAUGCAGCUUUUCUCAUGGGCCUUUUGGAGAACAAUCAGCUACUCAGCCAUCAGAGCCUUUUUUGCUGGAUGGCAGGCAGGAACUGACAGCAAACCAUCGUCUCUACAACACGCAGAAGAUCAGCACCAAGUCUCCAUUCUCCGAAAACAUGUGUCCAUGCAGCUCUCCCAGGGGAGGUCUGCGCUGCAGUGGAAGGCCCCAGGAGCGUGGGAGCCAGCUCAUCGCAUGAAGGAAACACAGAGUUGUACCUCCAGAUGCCAGGCGGAGCGGCGACGUGACGCACGGUGGACGAGGAGCCAGGAUGCCCAGCUCUGCUACCAACACAGAGUGGGAAUUUGCACACCUCACAUGGUGUCAGUUUCCAAAUGCUGCUGUAAUCAAUUUCCACAAAGUGGUGGCUUAGAAAAACAGACAUGUAUUCGCUGACAGUUCUGGAGCCCAGAAGCCUGAAACCAACGUGAGGGUUCUAGGGGAAGAUCCUCAUUUGCCCCCUCCCAAUUUGGUAGUUCUGGGUGUUCCUUGGCUUGUGGACUCAUCACUCCAAUCUCUGCAUCUGUCUUCACAUUGCUUUCCCUGCUUCUCUGUGUGUCCAUUCUCUGCAUGUCUAAUUUGUAAGGAUAUGAGUGAUUGCAUUUAGGGCCUACUUGGGUUAUCCAGGGAGAUCCCCUCAUCUCAAGAAAAUUGAUCUAAUCAUGUCUGCAAAGACCCUUGAUCCAGAUAACAUUCACAGGUUCUAGGGAUUUGAUUGGGAUAUCUUUGGGGUGAGGGGGGAUAUUUUUCAGCCUGCCACACCCACUUCCCUUCUUCUGGCCUCUUCCAGAAAAUGAUGGCCCCUCUGAGCCCCGAGUUCCCCUUCAGCUUUGAAGUUCUGCAGGUGAUCCUCAGACAGCCUAGCCUGCAUUGCCAAGUUCACGACAAUGUUAUCUCAAUAGAGUACCUGAUAUUUUUUCAAAGCACUUUCCCAUCUGUUAUUUUGCUUCAUGCUCCUGAUCACCUCUCGGGGCACACAGGGCAAUUAAUAUUAAACCCAUUUAAUUGAUGAAACAACAGAGGCCCAAAAACUCCUAACUCACUUUCUCCUUGAGUUAGUCAGCUAAUGGGAACCAGGAGCAGGCCAGGUGGUUUCCCAGGGCAUGCUUUUUUUUUUUCUCUCUCUCUUUCAUUGUAUAUAGCCUUUCACCACCACAGGCUUUGUUCUGGAAGCCCAGGAAGGUAGGCAAGUCAAAGCUUGUCAUGUAGAUCCAAGCCCACCCUGAAUCCCUGAUUCAUAUCCCCUGGAGAGUGUGGCAGGAACUUCAUUUGCACUCCCUGUGGUCCCAGGUGGCAGAAAUGAGGAUGAAGCCAAGUGUUUGGAGUUCUUGCGAAGAAAGAUACAACAGCCACACAAGGUAUUAUUAACUUUAUUACUUGUCAGGAAGAGGUGGGGGAAGCAGUUAAGAUUCGGCUAGAUGAGAGGUGAGUGUACUGCAUUACAAUCUCUGGAGGGUGUGGUGGGCAUAUGAGCUGGAAAGGACCAUUAUUUAUUUACUACUUUUGUUAAGUGCCUGUAAUGUGCUGGGUGCUAUGCUGGAUGUGUGUGUAACACAGACACAUAAACCAUUCAGGGUCAACCUUGCGUGGGUGGGAGGAGGUUAAAAGCACUUGCAUCUUCUUCUCCCUGAAAACAGAAACAUCUUCCUCCUUGGCCUACCAUGGUGCCAGCAAUCUCCAGCAUUAGCGAUGGCUCCUUGGGGGUAACCUGCAGAAGCUUCUUAACUGGGUUAAGGCAUCUUAUUACCUUGCAGGAGUAAGGCAAUCGCCAGCUCACUGAUAGUACACAAUGAUUUCGCUCAUUCCAUCCACUCUUGGCCAUUGGUGCAGCAGGAAGGGCCUUGGGGUCCUCCAAUUUGGACAGUGGGGAGGACUUGGCCCUGGGCUGACAGAUUGCUGCUUGGCAGGUUUAUGGGAGCCAGGCGUCAGCAUGGUGUGACGUGGGGAGGCAAGAGUCAAUGCCAAUGCAGGCAGCCCCCUCCCACCAAGCAAAGCGGCUUACAGACUUCGGAGAGGAAACAAAACAUCUACAUGCAAAUGUUGAACCAGAUUUCAGAGCAAGAGAGCAACUUCAAGAGCCAAGGCAGUUCCAACUACCAGGUGUUUAAUACCUUUUCAGCUUGGGUGGAUCAUGGAUCUCUUUGAGAAACUGAGGAGACAGUCUUGGAUUCUCUCUCUGUCUCUCUCUCUCUCCCCCACCUCCCCCUCUCUUGCACCUUCUUCUCCCUGCAAACAAAAUCAGAGUCCUGCUCUGUCACCCAGGCUGGAGUGCAGUGGUGCCACCUUGGCUGACUGCUAGCCUUGAACUCCUAGGCUCAAGUGAUCCUCCUGCCUCAGCCUCCCAAAGUGUUAGAAUUACAUGCGUGAGCCCCCACACCUGGCCUGGAUCCUCUCUUUUGUAGAAAAUGCACUUGCAUAGCAAACACACACACACAUACACACCUCUCACUUUUUUAAUGAAAUGUCAGGGUGUCUGCUGAUGCCUGAAGCACAUCCGAGGGCCGCAGUGAGAUAUUCUUCUUUGGAAGUGCUCAACAACCCUGGGAGGUAGGUGUGGCAGGGUCUCUUUUCAUACACCAUAAAACAGAGACCCAGAGGCAGCUCGCAACUUGCUCAGGUCAUGUAUUAGUGAGCAUCAGAGGCAGGCCAGGACCCCCAAUUGCACAGGUCUAGGAAGCACCAUUUCAUCCAAGUCUAUGUUGCAUGCCAAAGAGUGUCACUGACAGAGAACACAGUGAGACCACUGCUACCGCCCUGGAGUUAGGCAGUGCAGCAGCUCUAGAGGACCUCAGCCAGGGUCUUCUGAUAACCAUUUACAGGCAUAUAUGCAAAAAGCCCCACGGGGUGACAGAGGUAAGGAGUCCUGGAGGGGGAUCAGAGAGGGAUGCAAUUGCCGAAGACUUGGAUGCCUAAGCUUGCAAAUGGAAGACUAUUUCUAAAUCAUUUAUUCAUUCCACAGCUUCAUAGGUGGAGGUGAUUCAUAGGUGGUUCCUAUGUGAAUUUCAGUUCCCCUUCCCCCCGACCUAGAGUAAAAUCCACACUCUUAUUUAUUUAUUUAUUUAUUUUGAGAUGGAGUUUCACUCUGUUGCCCAGGCUGGAGUACAGUGGCAUCUCGGCUCCCUGCCACGUCUGCCUCCCAGGUUCAAGCAAUUCUCCUGCCUCAGCCUCCCAAGUACCUGGGAUUACAGGUCACCACCACCGCGCCAAGCUAAUUUUUUGAUUUAUACUAGAGACGGGGUUUCACCAAGUUGGCCAGGAUGGUCUCGAACUCCUGACCUCAAGUGAUCUGUCCACCUCGGCCUCCCAAAGCGCUGGGAUUACAGGCAUGAGCCACCGCACCUGGCCAAAAUCCACACUCUUCAUAGCGAUCUCUGUGGCUCAGCAGGGACCCCUCCAUGCCUCUCUGUCUCUCCUCUCUCUUGCCACUGCCUUUCUUGUUCAUUACACUCCAGCAACCCUGACCUUCUGUCAGUUCCUAGCGCUUGCCAAGCUUUCCCCUCCCCAGGGCCUUUGCACUUGCUGUUCCUCCUGCCUUGGAAGAUUCUAGCCCUGGCUGUUCCCAGGGCUGGCUCCGUCUCAUCCUUCAGCUCUCAUCUUGAAUGUCACUUUCUCAGAGAGAUCUUCUUUGACUUUAUCUAAGAAUAUCCCUCCACUAUUCUCUAGCCAUCUGUUUCUUUUUAGCACGUAUAACAAUCUGUAACUGUUUUAUGUCUUAAUUUGCUUAUGUAUUUAUUAUCUAUCUCUCCCUUGAUCAUAGAAAACAUGGUAAAGAUUGUAGCUACGGUGUCCUGUUCACCAUUCUAUCCCUAGCCCCUAGCACGUAUUAAGGGUUCAAUAAUUGCAGACUGAAUGACUGAAAGGCAUGUUUGGAAGCAGAAGUAUUCCUCGGCCACCACUUUAUCUUACUUAGUGCAGUAAUGCAAUCAACAUUUGGCUCCUGCUGUGAUGCUACCCUGAUCUCGGGCUGGUGAAAGCGUGACUCUCCAAGAUGAGCCAUCCAAGAAACCACAUAGAAAAGAUCAAGGUCCCAUAACUUCAGCUUGGGGAAGCAAGAACAAAUGUGGCAUUCCUCACUUAAGAAAGAAGAGGCUGUGAUGCUUGCUAAAAAAAAAAAAAACUUGUCAACUGGAUCCAUCAUCAAAGGAAACUGCCCCAUGGACAGUUUUAUGACGUAGUCUGAAGCACAGGAAAUGGGCGGCACGGGAGCAUCGGGGGACUUUUAGAAGUUGUAUUGCUUUCUUAAGAAAAUGCUGCUGGCUUCUGGAACUGCAGUUUAAUUAAAUUCAGUUGGCUGGAUACCUUCAAAGGCUGUUCCAGGUCUUCACCAGCCCUCACAGACGCAGGCAUCUUCCGAGCAAAUGUGUGAGCGAGAGAGCGGUGAAGCAGUCUCUGGCAAGACAAGGCAGGCAUUCUCCAAUCCUGGAUCAUCACACCCUGGCAUGCGGCAGGGCAGGUGGCCAAGGACCUGAGCGUCCAGAUCUUCCUCCACCCACCCCGCCCGGUCUCCAUGUGUGACAAUGGAGGGGAGACAAUGCUGUCUUCAUAGAGGUAGUGCAGAGAUCAGGGCUAUCAGAGGGGCCUGCAAAGGUGCACACAGACCCACUUUGGUCAAUUUGUCAGCGGUGAAAUCCGAUGCAGGUUCUCCCAGGGUGACUCGCUGCCACCCCAGGGAUGGAGUCUGCAGGUUUCUAGGGGCUGGUCCCCCAGGGAAGGAAGGUCUGAGGGCCACAGGAGCAUUUUGGGAACUUGAGCUCUUCCAAACCAGUCUGUAACACAGAAGACGCUAGAAAGAACACUAACUGGGUCAGAGAUGCAGUCCAGACACCAUGGGGCAUUCUGAUUAUCUUGAUAAGAUGUGAGCUCAAACAUAGACCCUGUCAGAUGAAAUGUCUCAGAAAAGGCAAUUUUCUGUUCAAUCUAACUUUUAAUUUAAAAAAUAAUAAUAACAGGCAGG